This 253-nucleotide ribosomal RNA is filed under the name uncultured bacterium. RNAcentral describes it as "partial 16S ribosomal RNA". It matches the Rfam family "Bacterial small subunit ribosomal RNA", at positions 524 to 776 of the family's 1533-position model. The record is from RNAcentral.
UACGUAGGGGGCAAGCGUUGUCCGGAUUUAUUGGGCGUAAAGAGCGUGUAGGCGGUCCGGUAAGUCCGCUGUGAAAGUCGGGGGCUCAACCCUCGAAUGCCGGUGGAUACUGUCGGGCUAGAGUGCGGAAGAGGCGAGUGGAAUUCCUGGUGUAGCGGUGAAAUGCGCAGAUAUCAGGAGGAACACCUAUUGCGAAGGCAGCUCGCUGGGACGUAACUGACGCUGAGACGCGAAAGCGUGGGGAGCGAACCGG